Argentina anserina (silverweed cinquefoil) is the source of this 1978-nucleotide RNA transcript. It is a transcript of the gene named pentatricopeptide repeat-containing protein At2g22410, mitochondrial-like, with no coding region annotated. The record is from RefSeq and is a predicted model, not a curated record. NCBI's taxonomy places the organism in Eukaryota, Viridiplantae, Streptophyta, Magnoliopsida, Rosales, Rosaceae. The transcript has 5 exons.
CACGAUCCAACCUCGAGAUCUAUUUUAGUUCUCUAUCUUCUCCAUUGACUAAUCUCUGAUCUCUCUCUCAAUCAUCCUCCAAAACUCCCCGAUUCUUUGUUCCUUGUUUUGCAUUCUUUAACGCAAAUGGAGGACGAUGCGUCGGUCCCCAAGCAUUCGUGCUUGAAGCUCCAACCAAGAGACUCCCAGCCCAUCUUCAUCAAGGGCACAUGGUUUGCCUCCCGCUUCGACCUCUCCAUCACCGACGACCUCAACGUCUGGGUCUGCCGCGCUUCCGAAGACACCGUCUGAUACUGAUCCACCUAGUGGAACCAGCCAGCGCCCAAGUACGUCUCAUUGGUAUAACAUUAUUUAAGGUUUCGACACUCUGAUUCCGUCUACGGGUCCGCUGAAGCUGGUGAUGGCCACAAGAGAGUGAGUUGUCACAAAAUCAAGUAAGUACACUGGUUCACCGUACGUUGUUGAAUGGAACCAAGCAAGCAACAAUGUGGUCUCAGUAAAGGUAAGCUUUCUUUAUAAAAUUUUAAUUACAAUCGAAUCAAGAUUGGUUAUCAAUAGGCAAAUGAGGGUGUACCCAUUGAUCUCAGGUAGGUUCAAGGAAAUCUGCAAAGAUAACAUUGAUCUCAGGUGAUUACUCUCUAUUGUUGGAUUAGCUUGAGCUAGCUUGCGGCCAAUAGACCUAAAGAUUCUCAAGGCUGUUGAAAAAGCCAAACCAAUAGUCCUGGUCUUCAUUUCCACCACCCAGUUGAAGGUCAUUCAUCUUAUUUUGGUGAAAGCUAUGCUCUUUCAUUUUGGGGUUAGCUUUUUCAAUUCUGAAUGAGACAUAUCAGAUUCAUAAAGGAAAUCAUUUCCUCCAUAUAGUGAUCAUGGGAUCUCUGCAUAAAGCUAUCAUUCCUGGGUUGCCUGACAACUUGACAUUGAGAUGUCUGGCAAAGCUAUCUCAUGGAUAUCAUGGACUGGUUGGGACUGUUUCAAAGACAUGGCGAAAUUUUUUCCGUAGUUCAGACUAUGCCAACUAUAAAGCCAGGGAGGGAUUGUGUGGCAAGUGGUUGUUUGUUCUGAAUGAUGGCUCCAGUGAGUUGCUUAUGAUCCUGAGGCUGAUAGGUGGCAUCCUCUGCCAAAAAUUCCUUCUAUCCAUGGUGAAGGGAGACACUAUGGAUUUUCAUGUAUUAGUGUUUGCAAUCGAUUUUUCGUAAUAGGAGGGUCAUAUUCUCCGGUGACGAAUGAGGUUAUGCAGUUUGAUCCGUUUAAGAAACAAUGGACCAAUGUGGUAAGCAUGAUUACUCCCCGCUCUCACUUUGCAUGUACUGUUGUACUUAAUGUCCAAUAUGUAUAUGUUUAUUGGUAGACAAGGGACUUGAAUUGUUUGAUCAAAUGUGUACCUUUUAUGAGGUUAAACCCAGGCUUCAACACUAUGCUUGUGUUGUUGACCUUUUGGCCAGAUCAGGCAUGUUAGAGGAAGCUGAGAAGUUUAUAGAGGAGAAGAUGGGAGGACUGGGAAGAGGAGAUGCCAACGUGUGGGGGGCAUUACUAAGUGCUUGUAGAGUUCAUGGGAAUUUUGAAGUGGGGAACAGAAUUUGGAAAACGCUCGCUGAUAUGGGAGUAGCAGAUUGUGGUAUUCAUGUCCUUUCAUAUAAUUUGUACAAGGAAGCUGGCUUACAAUUCGAGGCAAAGAAAGUCCGAGAUAUGAUAUCAGAGGGUGGACUGAAGAAGAAACCUGGUUCCAGUGUGAUAGAGUGGCUUAAGAAAUGCUUGUCGGUGAUCUUUCUUCUCCACAAGCACAAGAAAUGCUUGAGAUGCUGGACUCUUUGUAAAAUCGAGAAUUUAGAGGAUGUAUGAUUCGGUGACUCCUUCCUUAGAUGUAUUUAUCUAUAUAUCACUUCAUUCUUUUGAUUCAAUACAGCAAAAACUUGAAUAAUGCAGCAGAGAAAUAUUUGUCUUUAUUAGAACUUUUUGCUGGAAGCAUAGAAGAAAUUAA